GGAAAAGGUAUCCGCAAAGAGAGAGCCUUUUAGUUUAACAAGAAAAGACAGUGUGGGAAUAAAAAAUUUCACUUGGAAGGAUUUUCUAAUUAAGCAUUGAAAUUACCUCCUGAGAGAUAUGAAGGAUUUUCUGUUCUGAAAAACCUUUACAUCAAGACUGGAAAGAUUUACAAAGGCUAUGCUACAACUCGGGCACAGGCUACUAAUGUCACUGAGAAAAAAAGCCUAAAACCUUUUGUUUUAUGACUUUAAUCUUGAAUUCUCUAGAGGCCUACAGUUACUUGCAGCUCUUCCAAUGGACUAUUAGCUUGUUGGCAGUCUCUAUGCUAAGGCAAUAUUAUCAACAUAUUCUGCAUCAACCAAUGAUGAUUCUGUAAUUUUUACUCCAACUUUAGCAUCUGUUAUCAGACAGUAAACUGGAGCACCGAAAAGACUGGCUAACAAACGUUUCUCCAGCAUAUCCCUGUUGAAAGCAAAUCCACAAGACAGCCAUUAAGUCUUUCAUAAUUAACGGCAAUGAGGUAAAGUUUCUUAACUGUCUACUCUAACUCCUAGGACGAGGGAUUCAUCUCUAUGAUUUAUAUUGUGAUUUGCUACAUUUAUAUGAUCUGCAAGCCCUAAUAGUUAUAACAGAAUACUAGCUACAAAACUUUCUCCUCACCUGGGUUUCUUGUAGAGAUACUUUUCUUGCUUGCUUCUAAUUAAAUAUGGUGCACACCCUUUCAUAAGAUUUCCCAUUCUGGAGGAAUUUAUUUAGUUACUUAACUUAAUAAAGUUCUCCUUUAAUAUUUUUUUUCUGCUUUGGUAGGGUAUCCCUAAAGUACUCACAGUAAUAAAAUGUCAAAGUCUUUUCAGCAUUAAAGCAUAUCCUCUCAGUUCCCUUUCAGUUGGAGUUCAUAUUAUUUUGCCAGGAGAGGAGCUGAGGAGCAGUCCCUCGCUGCACUGAUCUGGAUUUUAAUACCCUCCACAAGCAGCAACAGUGGUGUUUCAGGGCCAGCAACUGCCAGGUAUUCCUCAGAGCUUGUCACCACUCAAGCGUGCAGUUGUCCUUGCCAGGGGGAUUCUGGCUUGUAGAAUACAACCAGGCUGUGCAGCCUGCGUCACCCAGAUUCAUCCAAAGCAGACAACAAUGAUCUGCCUUUCCCUCAGUACAUUGGAGAUGCUCUGGAAAUCUCUGCGUUUUUCUGCACUGAAGGACGUCCUAGAAUAAGGACAGCUGCCUGGGCUGAAGGAGUCAGCUGAACAGAAGAUCCUUUAGAAGAGGUCCUUGGAUUCCCAGAAAUAUACAGAUCAGAUGUUGAAAAUCACUGAACGGGGACACCGCACUCAAUUGGGAAAGAUGAGACAACAGUGGAUUAAAAAUACAGAAAAGAAAGUUAAGGCAUCCCAUCUUCCAGCACCCAAAGGGUGAAAGGCAGCUGCCAUUCGCCCCAACAGCAGCUGGAGAAGCCACAGCAAAAGAGUGUGUAAAGACACUGUGUGAAGAGUGUCAAAAGUGAAAGCCUCAGGGGCGAAGAGGGAAAGAAAUGACGUCACUGUAAUGGAAGCCUUUUCUACUUGUCUGUCUGUCUGUCAGCAACGACUUCUGAAUCAAUAAAUACCAGUCAGAAUGCACAAUUCCUGCUGACCUGCAGUCCCCCCUUCAUCUCUGGAGAAAAUAAACACGGGUUGUGGGUGCUGAGCAGCUCUGCCUUCUUCAGAGCUUCCAUUGUAUUUGUGUUUGUGGUGUUUCAGCCAGCAGCACCAGGCAGCGUUCAUUUGGUAGUCCCAGGAACUUGGAGGAAUUCCCCGGUUAUUAUGAGAUUAUCCCUUCACUGCAAAAUAAACGAUUCUUCACCAAUUCCAUCUCAGGGGUGUUCUCUCACAGAUGUCUGGGAGUCAGGAGGGGUCAGGACAGGAGGGACUUGACUCG
Gallus gallus (chicken) is the source of this 1912-nucleotide long non-coding RNA. The record is from Ensembl. Lineage: Eukaryota; Metazoa; Chordata; Aves; Galliformes; Phasianidae.